CUCGAAGAUGACAUAAUUUGCGACUGAUGGCGGCGCCUGAGACCUCGCCGGGUACUCUUAAGGGUGUCGUCAAUUUGAUUUUCAAUUCUUACAUAUACUGAGC
RNAcentral lists this small nucleolar RNA (103 nucleotides) under Sphaerulina musiva SO2202. RNAcentral's name for it is "A. fumigatus snoRNA Afu_514". It matches the Rfam family "A. fumigatus snoRNA Afu_514". Lineage: Eukaryota; Fungi; Ascomycota; Dothideomycetes; Mycosphaerellales; Mycosphaerellaceae. The record is from Rfam by way of RNAcentral.